This 493-nucleotide ribosomal RNA is filed under the name uncultured bacterium. RNAcentral's name for it is "partial 16S ribosomal RNA". It matches the Rfam family "Bacterial small subunit ribosomal RNA", at positions 29 to 523 of the family's 1533-position model. The record is from RNAcentral.
AUUGAACGCUGGCGGCAUGCUUUACACAUGCAAGUCGAACGGUAACAGGUUAAGCUGACGAGUGGCGAACGGGUGAGUAAUGCAUCGGAACGUGCCCGGUCGUGGGGGAUAACGCAGCGAAAGCUGCGCUAAUACCGCAUACGAUCUGAGGAUGAAAGCGGGGGACCGUAAGGCCUCGCGCGAUCGGAGCGGCCGAUGUCAGAUUAGGUAGUUGGUGGGGUAAAGGCUCACCAAGCCAACGAUCUGUAGCUGGUCUGAGAGGACGACCAGCGACACUGGGACUGAGACACGGCCCAGACUCCUACGGGAGGCAGCAGUGGGGAAUUUUGGACAAUGGGCGAAAGCCUGAUCCAGCAAUGCCGCGUGCAGGAAGAAGGCCUUCGGGUUGUAAACUGCUUUUGUACGGAGCGAAAAGGUCUCCUCUAAUACAGGGGGCUCAUGACGAUACCGUAAGAAUAAGCACCGGCUAACUACGUGCCAGCCGCCGCAGUAA